This 576-nucleotide ribosomal RNA is filed under the name uncultured bacterium. Its description in RNAcentral is "bacterial SSU rRNA". It matches the Rfam family "Bacterial small subunit ribosomal RNA", at positions 125 to 731 of the family's 1533-position model. The record is from RNAcentral.
UGUACCCCAGAGUGAGGAAUAACUGCCCGAAAGGGUGGCUAAUACCGCAUACGGUCUUCGGAUUAAAGCCUUCGGGCGCUUUGGGAACAGCUUGCGUACGAUUAGAUAGUUGGUGAGGUAAAGGCUCACCAAGUCAACGAUCGUUAACUGGUCUGAGAGGAUGAUCAGUCAGACUGGAACUGAGAUACGGUCCAGACUCCUACGGGAGGCAGCAGUGAGGAAUCUUCCACAAUGGGGGCAACCCUGAUGGAGCAACGCCGCGUGCAGGAUGAAGGCCUUCGGGUCGUAAACUGCUUUUAUAGGUGAAUAAUAUGAAUGUAGCUUAUGAAUAAGCACCGGCUAACUACGUGCCAGCAGCCGCGGUCAUACGUAGGGUGCAAGCAUUAUCCGGAGUGACUGGGCGUAAAGAGUUGCGUAGGUGGUUUGUCAAGUGAAUAGUGAAAUCUGGUGGCUCAACCACACAGACUAUUAUUCAAACUGGCAAACUCGAGAAUAGCAGAGGUAACUGGAAUUUCUAGUGUAGGAGUGAAAUCCGUAGAUAUUAGAAGGAACACCAAUGGCGUAGGCAGGUUACUG